UUUCGUCUCGUACCCGCGACUGUAAACACUGCGGAGGGGAGGAGUGCCGGAAAUCCACGGUUUUCCGAGGACAAAAGACUCGAAACAAAUUACUCAACCGAUUUUCGUCCAACAGAAUUUUAACAAAUUAUCAUACGUAAUUAUUGCUUCCACUGAUAAUUCUUGACUUUUAAUAGAUUGGGGAGAUCAUUACAAUAUUUCUAGGUUAAACUAGUUAUACGUAUAGAGAUAAGAGGAAAAAAAAAGAUAAAAAGAACACGUACAUCCAUACUUUGUACACUCUUUUAAUUUUACUAAUAUAAGCAGCAGUUCUCUCAGUUAUAUUCGAACACCUUGUAUAAUGGCCUAUUUGCCAGCGAAAAACUAGUUGCGAGUGAAAUGACAUUUUAAAAGAGGUAUCUGUGCACGUAACAUUCGCAUAUUACGUGGAAUUGGUUAUGUACUUACAACGUUACAUAUACUUUGGUGACUUGUAACUCGUGCAACCGAUUGUUGCCAUAUCAUUUAUCGUAAUUGUGAGGAUUAUGUGUUGAGUUUUCUAACGCGAGGUUGUGCUUUCGAUCCAUUUACGAAAACGCUUACGUAAUACUCGUGAAGAUUUUGUCGAUAAGACAGUUCGCACAAUGUCUCUUUCUUUUUUUCUCUCUCGUGCCAAUUCGACGAGGGUUUUCUUUUCAAUGUUCCCUCCCCCGCCUUAUUUUUUUCAACACGUUCACCACCCUUCAAAGCUCACUCACAAAGUUUUCAUCAUAGAAUGAUAAUUUCAUUUGAAGACACAGGAAAUUAAAUUUAUUGCCUUUAAAUUUCUCACACAAGUGCGUAAGAAUCUGCAGUGGGGUAAAUAGGACAUUGGGUUUUUGAUUUUUGAAAACAGAGAUCUCAGCCGGGCGAGGGACACUUCAUACAAUUGUAAAAUUUGAUGAACGUCACGCACUUUCGACAAUGAGAAAAUCAUCCUUGUGAAGGAACAACCAUUUUAGAAGGCCGCGGUGUUUCAUCACAAGUAUAAAUAGGAAGCUGGAAUUAUAUUUCCGAUAACGCGACGCACGUACAUUCAAUCGAACUUGUCUAUCAAUUUACCCCGUCAAUCAUUUGUCGUUUGUAUGACACAGAACAAAGAAUCUCACAAUGAAAAAAUUAGUAGAAACAGAAGCUUUUUAUUUUAUAAACAGUGUGAAUAUACUACAAACUACAAACUACAGGCAAAUGCUAACAAAAAUCGUCGUAUCGAACGGCCUAAUCUAAAUGGAGAAACAAAAGGAAUUCAUACACAGUCAUCGAUUCAGCGGUGAUGAUAUCACUGAAUACGCAAAUGUGAAUACUUGGAUAAUCGAUUUGUUAAAAGUGAAAGAAAGAA
Long non-coding RNA from Frieseomelitta varia, 1357 nucleotides. RefSeq lists it as uncharacterized. NCBI's taxonomy places the organism in Eukaryota, Metazoa, Arthropoda, Insecta, Hymenoptera, Apidae. The transcript has 2 exons. The record is from RefSeq and is a predicted model, not a curated record.